GACGAACGCUGGCGGCGUGCUUAACACAUGCAAGUCGAACGGAAAGGCCCUGCUUUUGUGGGGUGCUCGAGUGGCGAACGGGUGAGUAACACGUGAGUAACCUGCCCUUGACUUUGGGAUAACUUCAGGAAACUGGGGCUAAUACCGGAUAGGAGCUCCUGCUGCAUGGUGGGGGUUGGAAAGUUUCGGCGGUUGGGGAUGGACUCGCGGCUUAUCAGCUUGUUGGUGGGGUAGUGGCUUACCAAGGCUUUGACGGGUAGCCGGCCUGAGAGGGUGACCGGCCACAUUGGGACUGAGAUACGGCCCAGACUCCUACGGGAGGCAGCAGUGGGGAAUAUUGCACAAUGGGCGGAAGCCUGAUGCAGCAACGCCGCGUGCGGGAUGACGGCCUUCGGGUUGUAAACCGCUUUCGCCUGUGACGAAGCGUGAGUGACGGUAAUGGGUAAAGAAGCACCGGCUAACUACGUGCCAGCAGCCGCGGUGAUACGUAGGGUGCGAGCGUUGUCCGGAUUUAUUGGGCGUAAAGGGCUCGUAGGUGGUUGAUCGCGUCGGAAGUGUAAUCUUGGGGCUUAACCCUGAGCGUGCUUUCGAUACGGGUUGACUUGAGGAAGGUAGGGGAGAAUGGAAUUCCUGGUGGAGCGGUGGAAUGCGCAGAUAUCAGGAGGAACACCAGUGGCGAAGGCGGUUCUCUGGGCCUUUCCUGACGCUGAGGAGCGAAAGCGUGGGGAGCGAACAGGCUUAGAUACCCUGGUAGUCCACGCUGUAAACGGUGGGUACUAGGUGUGGGGUCCAUUCCACGGGUUCCGUGCCGUAGCUAACGCUUUAAGUACCCCGCCUGGGGAGUACGGCCGCAAGGCUAAAACUCAAAGGAAUUGACGGGGCCCCGCACAAGCGGCGGAGCAUGCGGAUUAAUUCGAUGCAACGCGUAGAACCUUACCUGGGUUUGACAUGGAUCGGGAGUGCUCAGAGAUGGGUGUGCCUCUUUUGGGGUCGGUUCACAGGUGGUGCAUGCCUGUCGUCAGCUCGUGUCGUGAGAUGUUGGGUUAAGUCCCGCAACGAGCGCAACCCUUGUUCACUGUUGCCAGCACGUUAUGGUGGGGACUCAGUGGAGACCGCCGGGGUCAACUCGGAGGAAGGUGGGGAUGACGUCAAGUCCUCAUGCCCCUUAUGUCCAGGGCUUCACGCAUGCUACAAUGGCUGGUACAGAGAGUGGCGAGCCUGUGAGGGUGAGCGAAUCUCGGAAAGCCGGUCUCAGUUCGGAUUGGGGUUUGCAACUCGACCUCAUGAAGUCGGAGUCGCUAGUAAUCGCAGAUCAGCAACGCUGCGGUGAAAAAGUUCCCGGGGCU
RNAcentral lists this ribosomal RNA (1346 nucleotides) under uncultured bacterium. RNAcentral describes it as "bacterial SSU rRNA". It matches the Rfam family "Bacterial small subunit ribosomal RNA", at positions 28 to 1381 of the family's 1533-position model. The record is from RNAcentral.